This 312-nucleotide ribosomal RNA is filed under the name uncultured eukaryote. RNAcentral's name for it is "partial 18S ribosomal RNA". It matches the Rfam family "Eukaryotic small subunit ribosomal RNA", at positions 1470 to 1796 of the family's 1831-position model. The record is from RNAcentral.
CCCUUAGAUGUCCUGGGCGGCCCGCGCGCUACAAUGUCAGCUACUGAAGGUUAAUGCUUUGAAAGAGAGCGCGCUCUCCUUUUAAUUGCUCGCAUGCUGGGAUAAAUGAAUGCAAUUUUGUUUUGAACGAGGAAUUCCUAGUAGCCAUGUUUCACUAGAAGAUGGCGAAUGCGUCCCUGCCCUUUGUACACACCGCCCGUCGCUCCUACCGAUGAGCGUUUUGGCGAAGACGGUUUGAGUAGCUGCGUAAUUUCGUGUUGUUGACUCCGGCAGUUUGAGCCUUCACGUUGAGAGGAAGGAGAAGUCGUAACA